RNAcentral lists this ribosomal RNA (253 nucleotides) under uncultured bacterium. RNAcentral's name for it is "partial 16S ribosomal RNA". It matches the Rfam family "Bacterial small subunit ribosomal RNA", at positions 524 to 776 of the family's 1533-position model. The record is from RNAcentral.
GACAGAGGUGCCAAGCGUUAGGCGGAAUCACUGGGCUUAAAGCGUGUGUAGGCGGAUCGUUAAGUGUCUUGUGAAAUCCCGCGGCUCAACCGUGGAACUGCCUCAGAUACUGACGGCCUCGAGGGAGGUAGGGGCGAGCGGAACUCUCAGUGGAGCGGUGAAAUGCGUUGAUAUUGGGAGGAACUCCGGUGGCGAAAGCGGCUCGCUGGGCCUCUUCUGACGCUGAUGCGCGAAAGCUAGGGGAGCAAACGGG